CCUACGGGGGGCAGCAGUCGGGAAUAUUGCGCAAUGGGCGAAAGCCUGACGCAGCCAUGCCGCGUGUGUGAAGAAGGCCCUAGGGUUGUAAAGCACUUUCAAUUGGGAGGAAAAGCUAAUGGUUAAUAACCAUUAGCCCUGACGUUACCUUUAGAAGAAGCACCGGCUAACUCCGUGCCAGCAGCCGCGGUAAUACGGAGGGUGCAAGCGUUAAUCGGAAUUACUGGGCGUAAAGCGCGCGUAGGCGGUUUUUUAAGUCGGAUGUGAAAGCCCCGGGCUCAACCUGGGAACUGCAUCCGAUACUGGAUGACUAGAAUGCGGGAGAGGGAGGUAGAAUUCCAUGUGUAGCAGUGAAAUGCGUAGAUAUAUGGAGGAAUACCAGUGGCGAAGGCGGCCUCCUGGCUCGACAUUGACGCUGAGGUGCGAAAGCGUGGGGAGCA
Molecule: ribosomal RNA, 440 nt
Filed under: uncultured bacterium
Lineage: Bacteria
Description: bacterial SSU rRNA
Rfam family: Bacterial small subunit ribosomal RNA
Source: RNAcentral